Molecule: unclassified non-coding RNA, 498 nt
Filed under: uncultured Glomus
Lineage: Eukaryota; Fungi; Glomeromycota; Glomeromycetes; Glomerales; Glomeraceae
Description: SSU rRNA
Rfam family: Eukaryotic small subunit ribosomal RNA
Source: RNAcentral
CCAAUAGCGUAUAUUAAAGUUGUUGCAGUUAAAAAGCUCGUAGUUGAAUUUCGGGAUUAGUACGUUGGUCGUGCCUUGGUACGUACUGGUGUAACUGAUUCCUCCCUUCUGACGAACCGUUAUGCCAUUAAUUUGGUGUGGCGGGAAAUCAGGACUGUUACUUUGAAAAAAUUAGAGUGUUUAAAGCAGGCUCGCGCUUGAAUACAUUAGCAUGGAAUAAUGAAAUAGGACGUUAAUCCUAUUUUGUUGGUUUCUAGGAUCGACGUAAUGAUUAAUAGGGAUAGUUGGGGGCAUUAGUAUUCAAUUGUCAGAGGUGAAAUUCUUGGAUUUAUUGAAGACUAACUACUGCGAAAGCAUUUGCCAAGGAUGUUUUCAUUAAUCAAGAACGAAAGUUAGGGGAUCGAAGACGAUCAGAUACCGUCGUAGUCUUAACCAUAAACUAUGCCGACUAGGGAUCGGAUGAUGUUAAUUUUUUAAUGACUCAUUCGGCGCCUUACG